RNAcentral lists this long non-coding RNA (5951 nucleotides) under Gossypium barbadense (sea-island cotton). Its description in RNAcentral is "long non-coding RNA (GBAR_LNC018050)". The record is from RNAcentral. Lineage: Eukaryota; Viridiplantae; Streptophyta; Magnoliopsida; Malvales; Malvaceae.
GAGUAAGAAGUUGCUUGUUCUAGAGUAGCUUAGUUUUGGUAGCAAAAAUAAUUACUAAAUCGAAUGGAAAGGUUUUCAAAUGAAAGUUGAAAGAUGAAUAAUGGGAUGGGUAGAUAAAAUUUAGGCUAAGGCCAAAGAAAGAACCAACAAUAUAGAAAUUGUUGACCCGAAUCUUAAUAGGACACUUAGGUAAAACUUUGGUUUGAAUUGGAAGAUUAACCUCGACCCUCUACCAAGAAUGAUAGGAACUAGAGGUAUAGGAACGCCACACCAAUAAAGGUGAUAAGUUCGGUUUCAAGGAAAAGAAUUGACGCCACAAGAAAGUUGAUAAGUCGAUUCAGUUCCAGAAAAGAACAAGGAGAAUUGGAUAAUCUCUCAAGUCUCAAAUUUAACAUAAAUUUUCGCCAAAAAAAAAGUCCCUCCAACAAGCCAUUUACAACAUAUUUAUAGUCUAUAAUGUGCCCAACCGAAUGGUCACAAAAAUUCAGAUUAAAUGAGCAAAUUUAAUGAACUAAAAUAGCUUAAGAGCUAAGUUCACUCCUUUGAAGAAUCCUAGACCUUGGGGACGGCAAUGGCAUCAAAAAUCUUUAAUAUCCUUCAAUAAUCAGCCUUGGAAAUUCGGAUGGCCAGCAGCAGCUUUAAAUGACGUCUUGGGCACACAAAUAGCUCCUAAAUACUUUCCUUCAACUUAAAUGAGCUGAACUAAAUUUGUAAGUCCUUUGGUGUGUUCAAGACAACAAUAAGCAUCAGCUUUGGAACCUGAAGACGGCCUUUAAUGCUCUUUGGAAGCAUGAAACUUCAGCCUUGGUUUAAACAGCAAGCAACAAACAUGUUUUGGCCGAAUGGCCACUUGGAAAUUCCCCAAACAACAGCUCUUUGCUGUACCCGAAGCAAUACCAGCUUUAAUGGCAUUCAAAAACGUCUCCCUUGCAUGCUUUCAUUAAUGCCGUCCAUGCAUGGGAACAUCUCAUUAAAUCCAUGUCUUUGCUUCCUUUAAAUGCCGUUCCAUGCAUGGGAACAUCUCCCUUGCUGCUCAUUAAAUUCGGCCAUGCAUGCAAGCUCCAGCAACUAAUUAAUGCCGUCCAUGCAUGGGAACAUCUCCUUAAAUGCAUGUCUCCUUAGCCAUUAAGUAGCCGAAUUUAAUGACCUGCAAACACAAAUUAAAUUCGGUCAAAUAAUGCAUCUAAAGACAAUUAAUUUCGGCUGGACUUCAAACACAUUAAGUCAACAAUGAGACAUAAUAAAUUCGGCUGAAACAUAGACAAAUUAAAUGCAUGCCUUAACCUAUGACAAAUGAAUGUGUACUAAUUGAAAACAUAAUUAAAUCAUAUACUAAAUAAAGAAAAUUUAAUAUAAAAAUUAUUAGACCCAAAUUAAAUCAUGUGUAUGCUGAAAUUAAUAAACUAACUAAUGAACUUAAUUUAUUCCAGCAACUAUUUAAAAGCAUAAGUUAAAAUAAAUUGAAGUUCAAAUUUAAUGAGCUGAAAUUAGCUCGAAUUUGAGCUCCAUUGAACUGAAACAAUCUCGAUCAACUUGCAAGAAUUUGUGAUUGUCGCCUGAUGAACUGAACCAAGGAUGUUUUCGGGGCAGGGUCGUAUCAUUCCCCCUUCUUUAGAACGACUUGUCCUCAAGUCGAGCCAUUGGUUCACUCGAUCGCAGCAACUUUUACUUAGCUUUCCUCGGUCGAACGGGAUGGAUUGGAAUUGGGACAACUGAAAGGAAUAACCAUGAGUUAACAAGAAUGGUUUCAGAUAAAUUUGUAAUCCAAAUGCAAGCAAAAUAGAACAAGAAAAUCCCAUGGGAGUGGACAGAUGCAAAGCAACAUGUUCACAACCAUGCAAACAAACUAAUUUACUCGUUAAUGCCUCGUCAAUUAUUCGAAACGAAAAUGAACAUGUUCUAAGGCAAUCAAAUGUCUCAAAUCGUUUCCACAAGUCAUAACCAAUAUGUGAAUAACGAAUCAAAUCAACAAAACAAUCUUUGGCACCACCUAAAGAGAACAACGAUGUUUCAAAAAGUUCAUGAGCCUUACCUUUAAAAGUAGUAAAACAAAGAUCAUUUUUACCUUGCUCGAUCAACACAAACCUUCGCUCCUCGGGAGUAUAUUGUAGUUGAAGCUUUUCAAUUUGACUCUCCAUCUUUGGCGGUUGAAAGAGCAAAGGAAUCAAGCUCAAUUUACAUCCAAAAUAAAUAAAAAAUUCUUUCAAUCGAUCAUGCAUCCAAAAUUUUAGUUGAUCAAAACUUGCAUAUAUCAAAUUAUCAAACAGUCUUGAUAUGUCAUUAUUGCAAACAAGUGAACUCAAUCGGUUCAAAAGACAAAUAACCAUACAUGAUCGCACGCAAUCAAACUCAACAGCAUUUUCAACACGAUCAAUGUCAGAAAUAGAUUUAUAUGGGUUUUCAUCUUGCGUAGUCAAAAAGUACCAAAGACGUUGGAUUACAAUUUCAUUUGUUUGCAGAUCAGCAUCGCAAUUUGUACUAACUUUAUUCUUGCAUUCAUCGUUCAAAACAUACACUUCAAGGCUAACCAAAGGAAAACAAUCAUUUGUGUCAGGAUACAAAUAUUUUUCAAAAUCCACAACAUCAAUCAAAUCGUUUGCACUAAGUUUGGAAUGCCCAAGUUUCCCACGAAACGAGUCAACAUAGCAAAUUCCAGGUUUGAACUCACGAUUUUGAUCACUUAUUCCAUAGUGCAGUAAAAAUUUCAUUCUCACAGGCAUGCUUAUACAAAAGGAUUUCGUGUAAAAAUAUAAAAGAUUCACAUAACCAUGACAAUUGAAUAAAUCAAACCUUUUAUGUGGAUACCUCCAAUCUCGCACGUCCAAAAUUUGCACAAGCUGAAAUAAUCCAAUAUUAUCAACAAAAUUUUCAACACGAAUCACAUCAAAUACACAACUCUUCAUGCCUCCAUUUAAAAUAAAAUUAUCAUCAAACAAAGAAUGACAAUUAGCCAUGUCAAGACAUGAAACCUUUUUAAAGACUAAAUCAUCAUCAAUAUUAUCACAAACAUUCAAGUGGAAUAAUGGAGACUCACACGGCAUAGAUCCCUCACCUUUCUUACCUUUAUGUGCCGGUGGACAAGGGUCUUCUAUGUUAUUACCUUUCUGAAUCAACUUGAAUCGCCUCUCAUCAGGGAAGUAUUGUAAUUGAAAAUCGUCGCACGAAUCUUUAGAAUUCUGAAAAGAAGAAAUAGAACAAGAACAACUCACAUGUGGGUUAGUAAAAACAACGCUCACUUUUUCUUGUUCUCUCUCAUCUCUUUCACUAUUUUCUUUGGAAAACUCUUUUUCUUUUCCACUCAAUUUCUGUUGAAACUCUCUUUCAAUUUCUUUUUCCACUCUUUCUUUUUCUUCUUUUUCAAUCUCUUUUUGCUUUUCACUCUCUUUUCUUUUUGAAAUCUCAUUUUCAUCUUUUUCUUUUAUUUCUUUUUCUUUUUCUCUCAUUUCUUUUUUUCUUCUCUCAAUUUCAUUCAAGAUUCGUUCAUUUUCUUGCAUCAACAUCUCUUGUUUUUCUUUUCUUCUAUUUUCUUUUUGUCUUGUUCUUUCAUUACAAGAAGAUGAUAACUUAUAAGAACCAUAACGACAAGCUUCUCGUUUGAAAGAAAUGGCAGAUUCAUCAUGCAAGUCACGAUCAUCUCUUUGUGAAUAACCCUCCGUAUUCGAGUACUUUGACAUUCUUGAAACACGUUCGCCUCUUCGUAAAUAAUCCUUCGUAGUUGAAUAAAUUGAGGCAUUUGUAGAGACAUGAUUACCUUUUUGUAUAUCAUCUCGGAAGGACUCAAACUCGUAGUUUGCUUCUCUUGGUCUCGAACGCCUUGUUGAAUAGACAUCUUGAUAAGAGUCUCUUGUCAAGUAGUGUCGUCGGAAUGAUCUUAACUCCGUCUCUUGUCUCGAUGGAAUUUGUUUUGUUGGGCUCUUGUCUCUAUUCGAUCCAAUCUAUCAUGCAAUAUAUCAAAAUUUGAUUUCACCAUUCUACGCAUUUCUUGCAUUAAAUAUUGGAAAUCUGAUUCAGAAAAUUCUUCUUGAAACAUGAUUUAAUUCUCACCACAAAAAUCUCACGUUUCACUCGCAAAGAAAAAUUCGCACAAAUUUGGCUUUUACUUCUCUCGAAUGGUCUCACCAAACACUCUUGCCUUUUUCCACUCGAUUUUCACCUCUCGAAGUUCUUCGCAAACUAAGUCGACAAAUUAAUACCAUUUGGCGUCGGCUUACAAAAUUAAUUUGGCUUGGUGGUAAUGACGUCGGAAAUGGUAGGCUAUCAAACAAAAUAGAAAUGGUUAAGUGUGGCUAUAUAGAUAUGGUCCUUCGGGCAACAAGCAAUGCUUUUACAAUCCAACUAUGAACUCUUCUCUUUUUUCUUUUUUUUUUUAAUUCUGAUUUUUUUUUUAAUUUUGAAUUUCUCUCACUUUUUUUUCAAUACUAAAUACAACAAGAAAAAAAAUGAAUUGAAUACAAACUUUUUUUUUUCGGAUUUUUUUCGGAUUUUUUUUUAAUUUUUUUUCAUUUUUUUUACAAUACCGUAAUACCGAUAACGUCGAUCUUACUCCGAUUCAGCUAGCUCUGAUACCAAAUGAUACGAGCUCGGUUAUGGAUGUCUCGAGUCGUAUGUAUUGCCCAAUCGUGAAUUCGAGUAAGAAGUUGCUUGUUCUAGAGUAGCUUAGUUUUGGUAGCAAAAAUAAUUACUAAAUCGAAUGGAAAGGUUUUCAAAUGAAAGUUGAAAGAUGAAUAAUGGGAUGGGUAGAUAAAAUUUAGGCUAAGGCCAAAGAAAGAACCAACAAUAUAGAAAUUGUUGACCCGAAUCUUAAUAGGACACUUAGGUAAAACUUUGGUUUGAAUUGGAAGAUUAACCUCGACCCUCUACCAAGAAUGAUAGGAACCAGAGGUAUAGGAACGCCACACCAAUAAAGGUGAUAAGUUCGGUUUCAAGGAAAAGAAUUGACGCCACAAGAAAGUUGAUAAGUCGAUUCAGUUCCAGAAAAGAACAAGGAGAAUUGGAUAAUCUCUCAAGUCUCAAAUUUAACAUAAAUUUUCGCCAAAAAAAAAGUCCCUCCAACAAGCCAUUUACAACAUAUUUAUAGUCUAUAAUGUGCCCAACCGAAUGGUCACAAAAAUUCAGAUUAAAUGAGCAAAUUUAAUGAACUAAAAUAGCUUAAGAGCUAAGUUCACUCCUUUGAAGAAUCCUAGACCUUGGGGACGGCAAUGGCAUCAAAAAUCUUUAAUAUCCUUCAAUAAUCAGCCUUGGAAAUUCGGAUGGCCAGCAGCAGCUUUAAAUGACGUCUUGGGCACACAAAUAGCUCCUAAAUACUUUCCUUCAACUUAAAUGAGCUGAACUAAAUUUGUAAGUCCUUUGGUGUGUUCAAGACAACAAUAAGCAUCAGCUUUGGAACCUGAAGACGGCCUUUAAUGCUCUUUGGAAGCAUGAAACUUCAGCCUUGGUUUAAACAGCAAGCAACAAACAUGUUUUGGCCGAAUGGCCACUUGGAAAUUCCCCAAACAACAGCUCUUUGCUGUACCCGAAGCAAUACUAGCUUUAAUGGCAUUCAAAAACGUCCCCCUUGCAUGCUUUCAUUAAUGCCGUCCAUGCAUGGGAACAUCUCAUUAAAUCCAUGUCUUUGCUUCCUUUAAAUGCCGUUCCAUGCAUGGGAACAUCUCCCUUGCUGCUCAUUAAAUUCGGCCAUGCAUGCAAGCUCCAGCAACUAAUUAAUGCCGUCCAUGCAUGGGAACAUCUCCUUAAAUGCAUGUCUCCUUAGCCAUUAAGUAGCCGAAUUUAAUGACCUGCAAACACAAAUUAAAUUCGGUCAAAUAAUGCAUCUAAAGACAAUUAAUUUCGGCUGGACUUCAAACACAUUAAGUCAACAAUGAGACAUAAUAAAUUCGGCUGAAACAUAGACAAAUUAAAUGCAUGCCUUAACCUAUGACAAAUGAAUGUGUACUAAUUGAAAACAUAAUUAA